RNAcentral lists this unclassified non-coding RNA (278 nucleotides) under uncultured Anabaena sp. RNAcentral describes it as "partial 16S-23S ribosomal RNA intergenic spacer". Lineage: Bacteria; Bacillati; Cyanobacteriota; Cyanophyceae; Nostocales; Nostocaceae. The record is from RNAcentral.
UAGGGGGACCUAAUCCAUUUAGAAAUCGAAAACAAUGAAAAUUGUCAAUAGAAACUAAAUUGGUCUAACCUAGGUCGUUCGAGAUUGGUAGACAUCUUUCAAAGUAUUAUUCGGCUUCGUUCAAAACCAUAUAUAAUAAAUGGAAAAAGACAGCACCUAAUUGUCAAAGUUAGACUGCUGGAUGAAGUUCCAGCCAGAACCUUGAAAACUGCAUAAGAGAACAAGAAAAAGCAGGCAGACACAGACAUUUAGAUGGAUGUGGAAGCAAAAGAAAUUGU